CGAAUGGAAAGGUUUGGAAAUAACGUCAUCCAGGUUAAUUGGAUCGUGGAUUCCUUUGGAUAUUUCUUUCGUUUCUUCGCCAGCACUGCAUCCUCGGUGGGUCACUGAUCACUGCUUGCGGCGUUUGUGUCAAUUUAUGUUAGAUGUGGCAUGUAUAGUAUUUGAAUAUUUGUAAUAGCUUCCGCUGUGUUUGUAAAUAGUGUUGGAACUUUUGCUGAUAGGUUAAUGAAUUAAGUUUGGUUUUUAA
Molecule: long non-coding RNA, 247 nt
Organism: Salvia splendens (bonfire salvia)
Lineage: Eukaryota; Viridiplantae; Streptophyta; Magnoliopsida; Lamiales; Lamiaceae
Exons: 2
Source: RefSeq, a predicted model, not a curated record